Molecule: ribosomal RNA, 450 nt
Filed under: uncultured bacterium
Lineage: Bacteria
Description: partial 16S ribosomal RNA
Rfam family: Bacterial small subunit ribosomal RNA
Source: RNAcentral
GUGGGGAAUUUUGGACAAUGGGCGCAAGCCUGAUCCAGCAAUGCCGCGUGCAGGAAGAAGGCCUUCGGGUUGUAAACUGCUUUUGUACGGAACGAAACGGCUCUGGUUAAUACCCGGGGCUAAUGACGGUACCGUAAGAAUAAGCACCGGCUAACUACGUGCCAGCAGCCGCGGUAAUACGUAGGGUGCAAGCGUUAAUCGGAAUUACUGGGCGUAAAGCGUGCGCAGGCGGUUGUGUAAGACAGGCGUGAAAUCCCCGGGCUCAACCUGGGAAUUGCGCUUGUGACUGCACAGCUGGAGUGCGGCAGAGGGGGAUGGAAUUCCGCGUGUAGCAGUGAAAUGCGUAGAUAUGCGGAGGAACACCGAUGGCGAAGGCAAUCCCCUGGGCCUGCACUGACGCUCAUGCACGAAAGCGUGGGGAGCAAACAGGAUUAGAUACCCCGGUAGUCC